This 1293-nucleotide ribosomal RNA is filed under the name Escherichia coli. RNAcentral's name for it is "partial 23S ribosomal RNA". It matches the Rfam family "Bacterial large subunit ribosomal RNA", at positions 317 to 1617 of the family's 2925-position model. The record is from RNAcentral. Lineage: Bacteria; Pseudomonadati; Pseudomonadota; Gammaproteobacteria; Enterobacterales; Enterobacteriaceae.
UCAGUGUGUGUGUUAGUGGAAGCGUCUGGAAAGGCGCGCGAUACAGGGUGACAGCCCCGUACACAAAAAUGCACAUACUGUGAGCUCGAUGAGUAGGGCGGGACACGUGGUAUCCUGUCUGAAUAUGGGGGGACCAUCCUCCAAGGCUAAAUACUCCUGACUGACCGAUAGUGAACCAGUACCGUGAGGGAAAGGCGAAAAGAACCCCGGCGAGGGGAGUGAAAAAGAACCUGAAACCGUGUACGUACAAGCAGUGGGAGCCUCUUAAUGGGGUGACUGCGUACCUUUUGUAUAAUGGGUCAGCGACUUAUAUUCUGUAGCAAGGUUAACCGAAUAGGGGAGCCGAAGGGAAACCGAGUCUUAACUGGGCGUUAAGUUGCAGGGUAUAGACCCGAAACCCGGUGAUCUAGCCAUGGGCAGGUUGAAGGUUGGGUAACACUAACUGGAGGACCGAACCGACUAAUGUUGAAAAAUUAGCGGAUGACUUGUGGCUGGGGGUGAAAGGCCAAUCAAACCGGGAGAUAGCUGGUUCUCCCCGAAAGCUAUUUAGGUAGCGCCUCGUGAAUUCAUCUCCGGGGGUAGAGCACUGUUUCGGCAAGGGGGUCAUCCCGACUUACCAACCCGAUGCAAACUGCGAAUACCGGAGAAUGUUAUCACGGGAGACACACGGCGGGUGCUAACGUCCGUCGUGAAGAGGGAAACAACCCAGACCGCCAGCUAAGGUCCCAAAGUCAUGGUUAAGUGGGAAACGAUGUGGGAAGGCCCAGACAGCCAGGAUGUUGGCUUAGAAGCAGCCAUCAUUUAAAGAAAGCGUAAUAGCUCACUGGUCGAGUCGGCCUGCGCGGAAGAUGUAACGGGGCUAAACCAUGCACCGAAGCUGCGGCAGCGACGCUGAUGCGUUGUUGGGUAGGGGAGCGUUCUGUAAGCCUGUGAAGGUGGCCUGUGAGGGUUGCUGGAGGUAUCAGAAGUGCGAAUGCUGACAUAAGUAACGAUAAAGCGGGUGAAAAGCCCGCUCGCCGGAAGACCAAGGGUUCCUGUCCAACGUUAAUCGGGGCAGGGUGAGUCGACCCCUAAGGCGAGGCCGAAAGGCGUAGUCGAUGGGAAACAGGUUAAUAUUCCUGUACUUGGUGUUACUGCGAAGGGGGGACGGAGAAGGCUAUGUUGGCCGGGCGACGGUUGUCCCGGUUUAAGCGUGUAGGCUGGUUUUCCAGGCAAAUCCGGAAAAUCAAGGCUGAGGCGUGAUGACGAGGCACUACGGUGCUGAAGCGACAAAUGCCCUGCUUCCAGGAAAAG